Molecule: RNA transcript, 1032 nt
Organism: Pezoporus occidentalis (night parrot)
Lineage: Eukaryota; Metazoa; Chordata; Aves; Psittaciformes; Psittacidae
Gene: RITA1
Gene name: RBPJ interacting and tubulin associated 1
Exons: 3
Source: RefSeq, a predicted model, not a curated record
AUGCGUGCAGCGGGCUCGGCCCCGGUGCCAUGGGGGGGCCGCCGCCGCUGCCGCCGUCCUCGGGCAUCCUUCGUGGACGAGUCCUUGUUCGGGAGCCCCGCGGCCUCUCGUCCCCCUCCGCCCGCAUUCGCCCCGCCAUGGGCAGAUGCUGCCGGUGCCGGGUCCAGGCCGAGCGGCCAGCGGAGGCUGAGAGGCCACGCUCCGUCUUUCUGUGAUGAGUCCCUGUUCGGCCCGGCCCGCGCCGCUCCUCGCAUGACCAAGGAAGAUGUAGCCAAGCUCCAGGCUCUGCUCUGGAGCCCCCCGCCUGCCCCCCGCGCCCAGCCUGGCCUCUCCCGCUGCUGCAGGGGCUCCCCGGUAAGAGCUGCCCACGCGCCGGCCGCAGCGGGCUCGGAGGUGUCGCGACGGGACACAUCCUGUGUGUGGAAGCGUCCCGAGAGCGAGCCUCGCUCCGCAGGCAGAGCACGACCCCAGUCUCUGGGCUGCCCAAGCACGCCCUUGGAUGGGCCCUGCCGGGCUUUGGACAGCCCCAAGCCAGGAAGGUGUAAAAACGGGGUUCCCUUGACAGCCCCCGCGGCCCCUCGGGUGCUGGGUCGGUCACAGCGUGUGUCCGGACCUCCUUUGGCCAGGAGCAGCACGGCAGCAAGUACCUGCAAGGCCAGGCCUCCCUGGAAGUGAAGCCAGACAUCCCUCUGGAUGCCUACCCAAGACCUCCUGAUGGGCAAGUCCAUGAGGACCCUGCACCUUUCCAUGGCUGGAAAUGAAGGAUGGGGCUGCUCUGUGCUGGGAGCCGUGCGUGCCUGCAGUGCCAAGCGGGCAGUGACCUCCGUGCGCAGGGCACGCUCCUGCAGCACCAGAGUGGGACAGCCGUGGUGGUGACAGCAGCUUCCAUUGACUGCCCAGUGGUCAUCAGAGGUGCGGUAACGGGUCAGGUUCCUUCUGACCGGGAAGUCCAGUUGGGAAGUUGGAGCAGCAGGAGACAGGACUGCCUGCAGCAUGGAGUCCAGGAGGACCAGGCACAGCAGGUACAGGCUG